Molecule: non-coding RNA, 928 nt
Organism: Rattus norvegicus (Norway rat)
Lineage: Eukaryota; Metazoa; Chordata; Mammalia; Rodentia; Muridae
Source: RefSeq, a predicted model, not a curated record
UCUACAAGGAAAGAACUCAUAAAUAAUAAACAAAGUAGACGGGUAGAUCGAUCCGGGAAGAGUGACAGAUGGACAGAGGUUGAGGAAGAACACACUAACCAAGGAACCAGACACUAGAUCACAGCAGGUCAUCGCUGACUGUGUCUAAUCCAGGGGAGGAGGAAAAGGUUUCAGGGCAGCGGAUCUGAGUUAUGCCUGAACGGCUGUCUAGGAGCUGGGCAGUGACCAGGAUCACCCUAGUACAGAGAAAGAGGCAGUAAGGAAAUACAGCCAGUUCUUUCCCUCAGGCAUUCCAGUUCUUUGCCAGGACCUCAUACUGGGAAUGCACACAAAACCAGUGCCAGGACAAUGUCAACCACAGAAGCCAGGCUUCUAGAAUUCAGAGUAGGAAAGACAAUGGAACUGGGGACAAAGAGCUCCGAAAGGUUGCUCACUGUGGACCUUUAAGAGGUCUCCUCACAAGCAGAGACCCAAAGAAGAGCAGGAAAGAGUAAAAUGCUGAAUGAACAAGUUUUGAAGAAAGAACACAGACUUCUUUUUUUUUUAAUGUAGGUUUUGAUGGAUAGCCAGAGGGUAAAAUUGGACACUGAGCCCAAGGAAGACCUAGGAGCCAAGGUGAAUGAGUUCCAUAUUGUGUUUUCAACCAAGUUCUUCCCAUGAAAGUCUGAAAGUCUCAGGGAUGGCUGUGAUGCUGCAAUGUGAGACCAGAUCCAGAUUCCCAGAACUGAAGAGCAUCUGCCAUUCCCCAGUGAUCUGCCAGGAUACAAGUUCCCUUCCUAGAACUUCGCAUCAAUCCGGAAGUGUGUCUGAGUGCAUAUACAUCAGUAACUUCCCUGUGACUCAGCCUAUAGCCCUAAGCUUCAAAACCUUUAACUGUUGGAAGCAUGAUGCUGUGAUUAUGACAUUAAAAAUCCAUGUUGAACUGUUA